GACGAACGCUGGCGGCGUGCUUAACACAUGCAAGUCGAACGGAAAGGCCCUGCUUUUGUGGGGUGCUCGAGUGGCGAACGGGUGAGUAACACGUGAGUAACCUGCCCUUGACUUUGGGAUAACUUCAGGAAACUGGGGCUAAUACCGGAUAGGAGCUCCUGCUGCAUGGUGGGGGUUGGAAAGUUUCGGCGGUUGGGGAUGGACUCGCGGCUUAUCAGCUUGUUGGUGGGGUAGUGGCUUACCAAGGCUUUGACGGGUAGCCGGCCUGAGAGGGUGACCGGCCACAUUGGGACUGAGAUACGGCCCAGACUCCUACGGGAGGCAGCAGUGGGGAAUAUUGCACAAUGGGCGGAAGCCUGAUGCAGCAACGCCGCGUGCCGGAUGACGGCCUUCGGGUUGUAAACCGCUUUCGCCUGUGACGAAGCGUGAGUGACGGUAAUGGGUAAAGAAGCACCGGCUAACUACGUG
Molecule: ribosomal RNA, 468 nt
Filed under: uncultured bacterium
Lineage: Bacteria
Description: partial 16S ribosomal RNA
Rfam family: Bacterial small subunit ribosomal RNA
Source: RNAcentral